RNAcentral lists this unclassified non-coding RNA (311 nucleotides) under fungal sp. RNAcentral describes it as "partial internal transcribed spacer region". The stretch from base 1 to 46 matches the Rfam family "Eukaryotic small subunit ribosomal RNA", at positions 1786 to 1831 of the family's 1831-position model. Lineage: Eukaryota; Fungi. The record is from RNAcentral.
AAGUCGUAACAAGGUCUCCGUAGGUGAACCUGCGGAGGGAUCAUUAACACAUGAAAGGGACGAGUGGAACAUGAAAAAUGGACCAACUCGCUCUCUUUUGUAUUCCCAAUACACCCAUCUAGCGUGAACUAGGAUGCCACUUUUUUCUAGCAGAUUUUCGAAUCUGCUGUUUUUUGCUAUUUUUUUGCAAAACUUUUUCCAAUCUUUGUAUUGAACAGUGUUCCAGUUGAUCCUAGUCUUGUACUAGUAUGAACUAGCAUGUUUUAUAACAUUAUAGAGUACGACUCUUAGCAACGGAUAUCUUGGUUCUC